This 442-nucleotide ribosomal RNA is filed under the name uncultured Prevotella sp. RNAcentral's name for it is "bacterial SSU rRNA". It matches the Rfam family "Bacterial small subunit ribosomal RNA", at positions 355 to 794 of the family's 1533-position model. The record is from RNAcentral. Lineage: Bacteria; Pseudomonadati; Bacteroidota; Bacteroidia; Bacteroidales; Prevotellaceae.
UGAGGAAUAUUGGUCAAUGGACGAGAGUCUGAACCAGCCAAGUAGCGUGCAGGAUGACGGCCCUAUGGGUUGUAAACUGCUUUUAUGUGGGAAUAAAUAAGAUUACGUGUAAUCUGUUGCAUGUACCACAUGAAUAAGGACCGGCUAAUUCCGUGCCAGCAGCCGCGGUAAUACGGAAGGUCCGGGCGUUAUCCGGAUUUAUUGGGUUUAAAGGGAGCGUAGGCGGUCUGUUAAGCGUGUUGUGAAAUGUAACGGCUCAACCGUUGACUUGCAGCGCGAACUGGCAGUCUUGAGUGCGCAGGAAGUAGGCGGAAUUCGUGGUGUAGCGGUGAAAUGCUUAGAUAUCACGAAGAACUCCGAUUGCGAAGGCAGCUUACUGUAGCGUAACUGACGCCGAAGCUCGAAAGUGCGGGUAUCGAACAGGAUUAGAUACCCUGGUAGU